UAUUAAAAUUUUUUAUCUAUUUGUACUGUUAAAAACUGGUAUGGUUGAUAGAAUAACCAAAUAGUAAGACAUGGCUUGCCAUGUUUACUUCAUAUUAACGUACAGAGACCAGUUUUGAACAAUAAAAAUGGAUGAAAUUUUUAACA
Non-coding RNA from Gossypium hirsutum (cotton), 146 nucleotides. Lineage: Eukaryota; Viridiplantae; Streptophyta; Magnoliopsida; Malvales; Malvaceae. The record is from Rfam.